UACGGAGGGUGCGAGCGUUGUCCGGAAUCACUGGGCGUAAAGGGCGCGUAGGCGGCCUGAUAAGUAGGGGGUGAAAUCCCUCGGCUUAACCGGGGAACUGCGUCUGAUACUGGAUGGCUUGAGUUUGGGAGAGGGAUGCGGAAUUCCAGGUGUAGCGGUGAAAUGCGUAGAUAUCUGGAGGAACACCGGUGGCGAAGGCGGCAUCCUGGACCAACACUGACGCUGAGUGAGCGAAAGCCAGGGGAGCAAACGGG
Molecule: ribosomal RNA, 254 nt
Filed under: uncultured bacterium
Lineage: Bacteria
Description: partial 16S ribosomal RNA
Rfam family: Bacterial small subunit ribosomal RNA
Source: RNAcentral